RNAcentral lists this microRNA precursor (92 nucleotides) under Paramuricea clavata. Lineage: Eukaryota; Metazoa; Cnidaria; Anthozoa; Malacalcyonacea; Plexauridae. The record is from RNAcentral.
AACACGAAUUUGAACAAGACAAAUUACGGGACAUGUUUGUCUUGUAACACGUGCCGUAAUUUGUCAUGUUCAAAUUCAUGUUGUUAUUAAUU